Molecule: transfer RNA, 90 nt
Filed under: Gammaproteobacteria bacterium
Lineage: Bacteria; Pseudomonadati; Pseudomonadota; Gammaproteobacteria
Also listed under: 2 other names
Description: tRNA-Ser
Rfam family: tRNA
About the family: Transfer RNA (tRNA) molecules are approximately 80 nucleotides in length.
Source: RNAcentral
GGAGAGCUGGCCGAGUGGCUGAAGGCGCACCCCUGCUAAGGGUGUAUAGGUUAACCCCUAUCGAGGGUUCGAAUCCCUCGCUCUCCGCCA